RNAcentral lists this long non-coding RNA (1054 nucleotides) under Piliocolobus tephrosceles (Ugandan red Colobus). RNAcentral describes it as "lncRNA (ENSPTEG00000018928.1)". Lineage: Eukaryota; Metazoa; Chordata; Mammalia; Primates; Cercopithecidae. The record is from RNAcentral.
AGCGAGCAUAAAAAGAGGCUGAACAAUUAUCAAAUAACUAAGGAAAGAGUAAAGAAGUAUAAAUUAGAAAAGAAAGAAAAAGAUAAAAGUUUAAACUGUGAAAGAGAGUUGAAUGGAAAUAGAGAAAAAAAUAGUGUGUCAAAUGAAAAAAAAGAAAAGUUUCAAAAAUAUGCAUUAUGUGUUGGGUACUUAGGUAGUAGAUUUCAUGGAUGUCAAGGUCAGGGAAAAGAAGUAAUGACAAUAGAAAAUGAAAUAGAACGUAUAUUACUUAAAAUUAAUGCCGUUACAAAAUUUAAUAAAACAUACAAUACAUGCUUAUCUAGGACAGCUAGAACUGAUUUAGGUGUGCAUGCAUUAUAUAAUGUUUUUGUUUAUAUGAUUAAUCUUGAGUGUGUUGAUGUAAAUUGUGAAGUUAAUCAUGAUUGUGAGAAGAGAAUAGAAAAUUUGGUAGGUUGCGAAAAUAAGAAUAGCGUUUUGGCGACUUCUAUUGAUAUCGAAACGGUACCCUCCACCGCUGAUGUCUUCGAAUUGCGAACAAAAAAGGAACAACGUUUUAUAAAAAUAUUUAAUAAACAUCUUCCUGACGAUAUCCAAUGCUUUAAAAUUUAUAAAGUGACAAAAAGCUUCGACGCUAGGAAAUUUUGUUCAUUCAGGAGAUAUGAGUAUUUAAUGCCAGUGUAUGUUUUAACAGAAGUUACUGUUAAUUCGAAAUACCAAAACGAAGUGAAUUCAGUUAUGGAACAUAUUAAUAAUUUUAUGGUAGAGAAUGAAAAAGCAAAAAAAAUGAGGAAAAAAGAAAAACAUAAAAAUAAUAGAAAUGGGAAGUUGAUGUCAUACGAAUCGGCAGAUAAAAAUGAGGAAGACAUAUCUGUUGAAAAGGGUGACAAACAAUGUGAUAAAGAAAGUGACAAACAAUGUGAUAAAGAAAGUGACAAAAAAGGUGACAGAAAAAGUGACAAAAAAGGUGACAAAGAAUGUGACAAAAAAGGUGAUAAAGAAAGUGACAACAGAGAUGAUAAAGAAAGUGACAACAGAGAUGAUAAAGAAAGUGACA